This 300-nucleotide long non-coding RNA is filed under the name Homo sapiens (human). RNAcentral's name for it is "LHRI_LNC1710.14". Lineage: Eukaryota; Metazoa; Chordata; Mammalia; Primates; Hominidae. The record is from RNAcentral.
AUGGACGAGGACGUGUUGCACCCUGAAGAGCCUCAUCAUCGCCUGCUCUUGAGGUUCACAGAUGAUACCUUUGAUCCAGAACUUGCAGCAACAAUAGCACCGGAAGCAGUACUCAGAACAAGUCAUACCUAAUGCUGCAGGAAACAUUUCCAAACGUGUAUGAAGAUACAUAUUGGUGGCAGAGCUAAUUCAACAGAAGCAACUCCAUCUACCUUUUCAUGUUAUUUUGACACCAAAACAAAUCUUGAAAGUGAAUGAAUACAUAUUGCUUUGUUAAAUACAUAUUUGACUUAUAUGGUG